ACUUUGAUAUGUUUGCAGCAGCUCUGCGAUUCCCCGCCAUUAUGUCAUAGAACGGAAGAGAGGUUCUCAGAAGCGCGCGUAACCGCCCUUUUGAUUUUCCCGGCAAAACCGUCCCGAGUUCUUCGCAUAAGAAUAACUCGUUUUCAUACAGUCUCGUUACAAGCUGUUGAAAUAUUGAAAAUAAAACACUGAUUAAUACAUAAUAAUUCCUACAUAUAGCCCCUUUAAUUGGCAUAUUUUUGCAAUCAUCAGUCCAUUCAUGUCCUGCACAGCUGCCAUGGUCCGUCUCUAGAUAUCACAGUACUGUCUCAUCAUCAUGUGUGUUUUGACCCUUAUCUGUUCAAACGUUCAGCGUAUCUCCUGUCUCGAAUGUGUCGGUUGUGCGAGGUGCCGGUUGCCAUGGUUUCGUUGGUAUUGGCGGAUGCUUUCAGUUAGCUAAUCCUGCUCGAUGCUCUCCAAACCCUGAGAUGAAUGCACUUGAUGCCAGACGCAGCUGGCCCUGCAUUCAGUACUGCACAUUCACGGGCCCAUCGACUCAAUAGAGCAGCUAGUCACGCGCGGACCGGGGUCUUAUAGCCGCGCUGCCUGCUGAGCUCAGCUACCGAAUCUCUGAAACAAAGCAUUGAGGAUUGUCUGGUCACUGGUGAAGACAACAUGAUGAAAAAUGGAUUAGUGUUUCACCGACAUGAUGCUGCUGGUCUCGUCUGGUCCUUCCAUAAAUACAGCCCUAAACCUCCAUAAUCAGACCGGACAUGCUUCAUUUACUGAUUAUGUACUAAAGUUUAACAAGGGGGAGAGAGAUAUUUAUGACCUGAAUGUUUAAAACUAGGCUUGAUGUUGGUGAAGGAGGUCAUUUUAAACCAUAAUGUAAUAUUCACCGAUUCACUGUAACAUUAUCUGGCAUUUAGCUGGCCAUGUGAAGCAUUUUGCUUCCGUAAUAUGACGCAUUUCUGAGUGAAUAAGGACAUUCAAUGAGAAAAAAAAUGUCGGGAGAAACUUGAUUUUAUCUAUUUGGUUGCAUUGUAAAAUGUCUAUAAAUAGCUAUUUGGCUGUAGGUUUUGGCUGGGAUUCAUGUCAGAUGAAAAGUAUAUAUUUGUCUGUACAUAUAUUGCAUCAUUUUUGUCUUCAUACAUAUACAGUAUGAUACUUAGGCGUAGUAUAUAUGAUAUGACGAAUUAAAAAUGUUAUAUAUGAGUAUUUCUUAAUUGACAUUUGUCUAUUGUUCAAAUCUAUUUCACAUUUAUUUUAAUUUGGUUUGUUUAAAAGGAUUAACUUGCAGUAAGUGAUUUCUGAGAAACUCUGUUGAUAUUUGAAAUCACCAAAACAGACACGCCCCUAUCUUUAUAGCUCCGCCCCCAAAUCCACAAACACUCUAUGCAACACAGGCACCUCCCCCAAUGAGUGUAUAUGCCCCUUACUGCUGAUUGGCUACAUGUGUGUUUUGAAGCUCGGGUCGGAUCCACUUUUUUAACAGCUUUUCUCAGAAAUUGC
This is a long non-coding RNA of Megalobrama amblycephala (Wuchang bream), 1491 nucleotides long. RefSeq lists it as uncharacterized. The transcript is spliced from 3 exons. The record is from RefSeq and is a predicted model, not a curated record. NCBI's taxonomy places the organism in Eukaryota, Metazoa, Chordata, Actinopteri, Cypriniformes, Xenocyprididae.